Molecule: ribosomal RNA, 169 nt
Filed under: Ariosoma scheelei
Lineage: Eukaryota; Metazoa; Chordata; Actinopteri; Anguilliformes; Congridae
Description: partial 12S rRNA
Source: RNAcentral
CACCGCGGUUAUACGAGAGGCCCAAAUUGAUGACCAACGGCGUAAAGAGUGAUUAGAGAACAACUGGCUAAAGAUGAAAAAACCCUAGGCCGUAAUACGUUAUUCUGGGGAAAGAAAACCUACAAGCGAAAGCAACUUUAACAAACUUGAAUUCACGACCCUUGAGAAA